CGCCUGGGGAGUACGGGUGAGGUAACGGCUCACCAAGGCAUCGACGGGUAGCUGGUCUGAGAGGACGAUCAGCCACACUGGGACUGAGACACGGCCCAGACUCCUACGGGAGGCAGCAGUAGGGAAUCUUGCGCAAUGGGCGAAAGCCUGACGCAGCAACGCCGCGUGGGGGAUGAAUGCCUUCGGGUUGUAAACCCCUUUCAGCAGGGACGAAAAUGACGGUACCUGCAGAAGAAGCUCCGGCCAACUACGUGCCAGCAGCCGCGGUAAUACGUAGGGAGCGAGCGUUGUCCGGAAUUAUUGGGCGUAAAGAGCUCGUAGGCGGUUCAGUAAGUCGGGUGUGAAAACUCAAGGCUCAACCUCGAGACGCCACCUGAUACUGCUGUGACUAGAGUCCGGUAGGGGAGUGUGGAAUUCCUGGUGUAGCGGUGAAAUGCGCAGAUAUCAGGAGGAACACCAGCAGCGAAGGCGGCACUCUGGGCCGGUACUGACGCUCAGGAGCGAAAGCAUGGGGAGCGAACAGGAUUAGAUACCCUGGUAGUCCAUGCCGUAAACGUUGGGCACUAGGUGUGGGAUUUAACUAACAAAUUCCGUGCCGUAGCUAACGCAUUAAGUGCCCCGCCUGGGGAGUACGG
This 635-nucleotide ribosomal RNA is filed under the name uncultured Actinomycetes bacterium. Its description in RNAcentral is "bacterial SSU rRNA". It matches the Rfam family "Bacterial small subunit ribosomal RNA", at positions 234 to 885 of the family's 1533-position model. Lineage: Bacteria; Bacillati; Actinomycetota; Actinomycetes. The record is from RNAcentral.